Molecule: transfer RNA, 68 nt
Filed under: Brookesia perarmata
Lineage: Eukaryota; Metazoa; Chordata; Lepidosauria; Squamata; Chamaeleonidae
Description: tRNA-Ala
Source: RNAcentral
CUAAAGCUUAUUGAAAUUAUCAACAUCUUCUGAAUGCAACUCAGAUACUUUAAUUAAGCUAAAACUUC